UUUGGUUCAGUUUGUUCAUCGUCGUGUUAUAUACUCAUCAAACCCAUCUUCUUAUUUGUUAAGGAUUUGAGGAUCUAACUUUCAACCCACAGAAGAAUAAUAUUGUAGAUUGUUGACGUGGGAGGCUUAAAGGGGUGAAGGUUUAUUCAUCUGGAAAGUAGACGUUGACAGAGAUAGCAAAAUAAGGAGAUGACUUCGUAGAGACCAUUGACUCCAACGAAAUGGCAAGGUGAGGUUCAAUGGAAUCAUGUAUACACUAAACUUGGAGUUUAAAUAAAAAAACCAAGGUAUGAAAACUGGAUGUUGUUAAGUAUAAACUACUCUUAAAAUCAGCCUUAUAAAUUUUUUUUUUUAUUAUCAAUCAUGUAGGCUUCUUACACCUCUAUUUACAUACUGCAAAAAUUAUCUGUUUUUCUUCCAACUCUCUAUUUCUUACUGGCUUUAGAAUGCUGUACUAUAAUCAGCACUGUUAAAGAGUGUAUCUCUUUAAUCAUAUCCUACACUAUAAUCAGCAAUGUUAAAGAUUGUUUCUCUUUUAAUCAUAUCUUUUUUUACAAUUUGAUUUCUAAUUUACUUCAGCUUUUUUUAUCUUUGCCAUGUUUUGUUUGAUCUAACCACUUUUUUUCUUUCUUUUCAAUUUUCAUGUAUCUCUAUACAAGCCUUUCUCAAUGUUUUACAAAUGACCAUAUAUCCUCAAGUCUCUCUAAUCUCACGGCACCUCCCAACAACACACCAAUUAUUCAGAAUUUGUAUAAUAGAAGCUAGACCACAUACAAACAGGCUUGCAUGGCUAUACUUAUCUUAUUUGUACGUAGUACGGGCUUUUAAACUAGAUAACAAAAUCUGUGUUAUCUAUAGCCAUUUGUUUAUCUUUCUUUUCAGAACAUGUUAAAAUGGAUUUUUAUA
Non-coding RNA from Camelina sativa (false flax), 906 nucleotides. The record is from RefSeq and is a predicted model, not a curated record. NCBI's taxonomy places the organism in Eukaryota, Viridiplantae, Streptophyta, Magnoliopsida, Brassicales, Brassicaceae.